This 253-nucleotide ribosomal RNA is filed under the name uncultured bacterium. RNAcentral describes it as "partial 16S ribosomal RNA". It matches the Rfam family "Bacterial small subunit ribosomal RNA", at positions 524 to 776 of the family's 1533-position model. The record is from RNAcentral.
UACAGAGGUCUCAAGCGUUGUUCGGAUUCAUUGGGCGUAAAGGGUGCGUAGGCGGCGCGGUAAGUCGGGUGUGAAAUCUCGGAGCUUAACUCCGAAACUGCAUUCGAUACUGCCUGGCUAGGGUACUGGAGAGGAGACUGGAAUUUACGGUGUAGCAGUGAAAUGCGUAGAUAUCGUAAGGAAGACCAGUGGCGAAGGCGAGUCUCUGGACAGUUACCGACGCUGAGGCACGAAGGUCAGGGGAGCAAACGGG